AGAGACUUAGGUUAAGCUAUAAACCAAAGGCCUUCAAAGCCUUAAAUAAGAGUGAAAAUCUCUUAGCCUCUG
RNAcentral lists this transfer RNA (72 nucleotides) under Nimbapanchax petersi. RNAcentral describes it as "tRNA-Trp". It matches the Rfam family "tRNA". From Rfam's summary of the family: Transfer RNA (tRNA) molecules are approximately 80 nucleotides in length. Their secondary structure includes four short double-helical elements and three loops (D, anti-codon, and T loops). Lineage: Eukaryota; Metazoa; Chordata; Actinopteri; Cyprinodontiformes; Nothobranchiidae. The record is from RNAcentral.